This 464-nucleotide ribosomal RNA is filed under the name uncultured bacterium. RNAcentral's name for it is "partial 16S ribosomal RNA". It matches the Rfam family "Bacterial small subunit ribosomal RNA", at positions 355 to 834 of the family's 1533-position model. The record is from RNAcentral.
UGGGGAAUAUUGCACAAUGGGCGAAAGCCUGAUGCAGCGACGCCGCGUGCGGGAUGAAGGCCUUCGGGUUGUAAACCGCUUUUAAUUGGGAGCAAGCGAGAGUGAGUGUACCUUUUGAAUAAGCACCGGCUAACUACGUGCCAGCAGCCGCGGUAAUACGUAGGGUGCAAGCGUUAUCCGGAAUUAUUGGGCGUAAAGAGCUCGUAGGCGGUUUGUCACGCCUGGUGUGAAAGUCCAUCGCUUAACGGUGGAUCUGCGCCGGGUACGGGCAGGCUAGAGUGCAGUAGGGGAGAUUGGAAUUCCCGGUGUAACGGUGGAAUGUGUAGAUAUCGGGAAGAACACCAAUGGCGAAGGCAGAUCUCUGGGCUGUUACUGACGCUGAGGAGCGAAAGCAUGGAGCGACAGGAUUAGAUACCCUGGUAGUCCAUGCCGUAAACGGUGGAUGCUGGAUGUGGGACCCUUCC